GACGAACGCUGGCGGCGUGCUUAACACAUGCAAGUCGAACGGAAAGGCCCUGCUUUUGUGGGGUGCUCGAGUGGCGAACGGGUGAGUAACACGUGAGUAGCCUGCCCUUGACUUUGGGAUAACUUCAGGAAACUGGGGCUAAUACCGGAUAGGAGCUCCUGCUGCAUGGUGGGGGUUGGAAAGUUUCGGCGGUUGGGGAUGGACUCGCGGCUUAUCAGCUUGUUGGUGGGGUAGUGGCUUACCAAGGCUUUGACGGGUAGCCGGCCUGAGAGGGUGACCGGCCACAUUGGAACUGAGAUACGGCCCAGACUCCUACGGGAGGCAGCAGUGGGGAAUAUUGCACAAUGGGCGGAAGCCUGAUGCAGCAACGCCGCGUGCGGGAUGACGGCCUUCGGGUUGUAAACCGCUUUCGCCUGUGACGAAGCGUGAGUGACGGUAAUGGGUAAAGAAGCACCGGCUAACUACGUG
This 468-nucleotide ribosomal RNA is filed under the name uncultured bacterium. RNAcentral describes it as "partial 16S ribosomal RNA". It matches the Rfam family "Bacterial small subunit ribosomal RNA", at positions 28 to 507 of the family's 1533-position model. The record is from RNAcentral.